CAGCCGCCGCGGGAAUACGUAGGGUGCGAGCGUUAAUCGGAAUUACUGGGCGUAAAGCGUGCGCAGGCGGUUCGUUAAGACAGAUGUGAAAUCCCCGGGCUUAACCUGGGAGCUGCAUUUGUGACUGUAUAGCUAGAGUACGGUAGAGGGGGAUGGAAUUCCGCGUGUAGCAGUGAAAUGCGUAGAUAUGCGGAGGAACACCGAUGGCGAAGGCAAUCCCCUGGACCUGUACUGACGCUCAUGCACGAAAGCGUGGGGAGCAAACAGGAUUAGAUACCCGCGUAGUCCCUGUCUCUUAUAC
Molecule: ribosomal RNA, 301 nt
Filed under: uncultured bacterium
Lineage: Bacteria
Description: partial 16S ribosomal RNA
Rfam family: Bacterial small subunit ribosomal RNA
Source: RNAcentral